RNAcentral lists this non-coding RNA (24 nucleotides) under Arabidopsis thaliana (thale cress). The record is from RNAcentral. Lineage: Eukaryota; Viridiplantae; Streptophyta; Magnoliopsida; Brassicales; Brassicaceae.
CUUAAUUUCAGUUUGUAUGAAUUU